UCGGGAGGGUACUGGAUGCCCAACAUCUUGAAAAUGACUUUUUAUAUGUCUGACUACUGCAAAAAUGUUUCCUUCUAUGUCUUUUUAUGUUUCUUUCUUGAUUUUCUUGCAAACUUACUUCUUCCACCUGACAAAAGUUUUAUGCUUCAGUUACUUUGGAAAAAUGGAGACAAGAGUGGAGGAAGCGAACAACUCAUUGAACCCUUGCUUGCUGCCCUCAGCUCCUCCUCCAUGCUCAGUUUACCUCCUAGUAGGCGUGCCGCAGCUAUGCCUUGCACUGCGACUUUUCUGGCACCAAGGGCUGGGGACUUUAACUGUAAGUUUCUCUUUGAAACAUCCAUGGAGUUGCCAACUCUUUGCUAUUGGGAAAGAAGUAAGUGAAACAGAAUGUCGCAACCUCUCUACAAUAUGAAAGUUAUCUUGUAUCUCUGUUUUUCUCAAGUUUAUGUAAAUCUUACAAGAAAUACAUCAUCACAAACAUAUGAAAACUCUUCAGGUACUGAAUUCAUUGACAAAUUCCAAUUCAACAAGACGUGGGAUCUCUGCCUACAAGGAGUUAUAAUUGUCAUGCAGGCGGGUGGAAUCAAUCAUCAAUAAGCAUCAAGCAAAAGAUGAAGCUUUCCAAUCAAAACAGAAUACAAUCAGGAAAAAGAAGUUCGAUUUAAGUAGUGAAACUACCUGCUGCCGCGAAAAUAUGAAGGAAACAACUUCCAUACUCUCUUUUCUUCUUGUCAUGGUUACUCCUCAAGCGCGGAAACAUACAUGGAAUUGCUGACUCUCUGCUAUGAUGGGAAAGAAGGAACUGAAACAAAAGGCAAUGAAGUUAUCGAGAAAUUCCAAUGCAACAAGAAGUGGGAUUUUCACGUGCAAAGAGUUUGAAUUGUGAUGCUGCAUGGUGGAACUCACGUGCACCAAGAAUCAGCCCUCGACAAGCAUUUGGAGUUGAGAUGCUUAUGUAUCUAAUGAUCAACUUGUUCGAAUAGGUGCUGCUGUGGCAUCUUUAAGUCCAUUAAGCGCAUAGGAUUGAUGAGCUGAACGAAGAGGAUAAGUUCGUUUCCAAGUUUGUUAUCGAGCUGCUAAUCUUGCUUCUUAAUUUUCUGUGAAGCAACAGACGAUUGAGAAGCUCGUUAGAAAUGAAAUCACCUAGAGGGAUUGGAUCACAAAGUCUAAUGCAGGAAGGUUCGGAUGGGGAUGAAGAAUCAGUUUGUUGGAGUUAUUGAAAUGUGGUUAGAGCAGCGUGGAUAUAUCACCAUGGCAUCUUCCUAAAUCGCCAAAGAGGAAUCCACUAUCCUUUUUUACGUACAGCAAAACAUAUGGAGGAACCGCUGAUAUGACAGUAAAAGCAAGACGUGCAGUCCUUCGGUAGGGCUAGUUGCCAAGAAAGGUGCUACUAACAAAGAGCAAGAUCAUCAAAUUGGUGAAAGUCUCAACUGAACAAUUUGUGAAUAUUAAAAGAAAUUGAGUAGAUGAGCAUUUGUUUUUCCCCCUCAUUUUCAACAUUUUACUUGUAUAAAGAUUGGCUGGAUUUUAUUUUAUUUUUCUAAAAGAGAAAGUGAGGGAUUUUUGGGCUCUAAA
Long non-coding RNA from Capsicum annuum, 1575 nucleotides. RefSeq lists it as uncharacterized. The transcript has 4 exons. The record is from RefSeq and is a predicted model, not a curated record. NCBI's taxonomy places the organism in Eukaryota, Viridiplantae, Streptophyta, Magnoliopsida, Solanales, Solanaceae.